This 253-nucleotide ribosomal RNA is filed under the name uncultured bacterium. RNAcentral describes it as "partial 16S ribosomal RNA". It matches the Rfam family "Bacterial small subunit ribosomal RNA", at positions 524 to 776 of the family's 1533-position model. The record is from RNAcentral.
UACGAGUGCCUCGAGCGUUAUCCGGAAUCAUUGGGCGUAAAGGGUGCGUAGGCGGCGUUGUUAGUCUCUUGUUAAAUUUCUCGGCUCAACCGGGAACCUGCGGGAGAAACGGCAAUGCUUGAGGUUGGAAGGGGUCUCUGGAACUCAUGGUGUAGCGGUGAAAUGCGUUGAUAUCAUGGGGAACACCAAAAGCGAAGGCAGGAGACUGGUCCAAAUCUGACGCUGAAGCACGAAAGCGUGGGUCGCGAAUGGG